UUCAAUUAUUUUUUAUGGUAGC
This 22-nucleotide non-coding RNA is filed under the name Arabidopsis thaliana (thale cress). The record is from RNAcentral. Lineage: Eukaryota; Viridiplantae; Streptophyta; Magnoliopsida; Brassicales; Brassicaceae.